UCGUGUUUGGUCUCCUCGAUCACCUCCUUUUCUGGACGCAAGACAAAACAACACAUUGGGAUUCCACACUUUUUGUGUCAACGCACACAAAAGGCAUCGCUCCCGAUAGCUUGCUUGCAUUGUAGCGUGAAAAUGCACAUUAUUAUGAGAACAUUUCCUCCAUGCAUGCGCCUCUGUGAUGAUUUAUAUCUUGAUGAGAUUACACUAACUCAGUUAUUGGGCUCGCACAUGUCCCCUGUUUGCUUGCUGGCACGAAAACACAUUGUUGUGGUUUAUUCCAAGAUGACUUGAACAAUCUCUUAUGGAGAAAAAAAACGUUCUUUACUCUUGUGGAUUGCACAGGUAAAGCGAACAAAGUGUCCGCUGUGUGUAGGAGCAAUCCAAACACCCCACCCACCCUGACCUCCUGCUUGGCUGAUCUCAACCCUGACACGCAGGAAUCCAGGCAUGAAUUAUACAUGGCAACGUUGUGGCCUUCCAACCCAGACUAAAUAAUGGGCGGCGUGACAACAGCAUAAUGAAGUUUUUGGCAAGCGUCUCGUACGUCUUCAGGGUUCACGGAGAGUGGAAAGAGCAAGUCGGGGCAAGUUGGUCUCUUAGCAACGUUGUGGUAAUGAGAUGAGAGGACAGCAUCCUUUCCCCGAAGAACUCGACCAGAACAACCGUAUUAAUGUGUCCAAUUUGUUCUUUCAUGCCACUGACUGACUGAUUAGGAGGGAGGGGCGGCCUUAAGACGUUCAACAUGCAAACCUCGUGUCGUAUCCAGAAAUUUAAUGGUUGAAAGUAACCACUAGUCUCUAUUUUUAGACAUUUAUAUGGUGCACAUAUGAUUAAAGUUGCUUUAAUCAACUACUUGUAGCUAGGCAGAUCAUUUGGAGCGCCAUUACUGGCAGAAAUUAAAAAAACUCACGUGACUCACGAUAAAAAUAAUCUUUGCAUUUGAAUUUAGGCCAACAAGAGGCAGCAUAGGCAACAUGUUGGAUUAAUUAAUAGCAAGUAUAAUUAAUUUCUAAUUAGACAAUUAAUUGCUAAAUAGACAUUUAUUUAAUUUUCAUAGAUUAUUUUUUUUACUUUAUUUUAGUAUUUUUAUUUUAAACUGUCUCCAUUUUUAAUUCGAUUUUUCUUGGGAGUAGGCUAUGCUUGUUUGUUUAUACUGCAAAGUUUCAUCAUUGCAGUAUUGUUAUUUUAAACUGUGAUGUUUACAUUAAUGAGUUUUUUUUUUUUAGGAGUAGGCUAAGCUUGUUUAUACUAGAAAUGUUCAUCAUUACUAAAAGAAGGUUUAGAAAAGAGGCAUUUUUACCUACGGUGUCUAUCUCAAGCAGCCGCUGGAGGUCGUUGAUGCUCCGGAUUUCGUUGCGGGAGAGCCGCUCCACAAGCUCCCGCGGAAUCGAGGACUCUUGCUGGGUGGAGGGUGAAAGAAAAGUCCGGUGUUUUAUCGCUACGCCGUUUUAUGUUUCUCCCCAACAGAUUCGUCAAUCAAAUCAGCAUAAACUUGAAAAUUUUUAUCAUUUGAAAAAGUUUGGUUAAAUAUUCCAAAUUAAUUUCCGAAUAUGAACCUGCCAUUUUGGGGUGUAAUUACCUCCGCAGCGGCUCGUAAGAUGCAGAAGCAGCCGGCGAGGAGCUGGUAGAGCGCGGGUCUCAUCUCCUCUCAGAUACGCUGGGAAGGCUCCGCGAAGGGGCGAGGGUACACUGACGGAGCCCGGGUGUCGCUCCCUGCUCUCGGUCGGAGCUCAGAACCAUGCCUCGGGAGAACAAUGUCGUCCCAGAAGAAUGGAGUUAGUUAUUCUUGUUUCUUCCUCUUCAAAAUACAAAGAUU
Long non-coding RNA from Syngnathus acus (greater pipefish), 1816 nucleotides. RefSeq lists it as uncharacterized. The transcript has 2 exons. The record is from RefSeq and is a predicted model, not a curated record. NCBI's taxonomy places the organism in Eukaryota, Metazoa, Chordata, Actinopteri, Syngnathiformes, Syngnathidae.